UACGGAGGAUGCAAGCGUUAUCCGGAAUGAUUGGGCGUAAAGCGUCCGCAGGUGGCAGUUCAAGUCUGCUGUCAAAGACCGGGGCUUAACUUCGGAAAGGCAGUGGAAACUGAACAGCUAGAGUAUGGUAGGGGCAGAGGGAAUUCCUGGUGUAGCGGUGAAAUGCGUAGAGAUCAGGAAGAACAUCGGUGGCGAAGGCGCUCUGCUGGACCAUAACUGACACUCAGGGACGGAAGCUAGGGGAACGAAUGGG
This 253-nucleotide ribosomal RNA is filed under the name uncultured bacterium. RNAcentral's name for it is "partial 16S ribosomal RNA". It matches the Rfam family "Bacterial small subunit ribosomal RNA", at positions 524 to 776 of the family's 1533-position model. The record is from RNAcentral.